Molecule: long non-coding RNA, 1875 nt
Organism: Austrofundulus limnaeus
Lineage: Eukaryota; Metazoa; Chordata; Actinopteri; Cyprinodontiformes; Rivulidae
Exons: 2
Source: RefSeq, a predicted model, not a curated record
CUGGGGGAGGGAAUGACCCUGUGGGGGGAUGAAUACACAGACGAAACAGCUGAACUAACGUAGUCGUCCUGUGAAGGAGUGGGCGGAGUCUCCGCUUGGGUUACCAGGUGAGAGGCUGGGUGCACCUUGUUAGGUUACCUGGAUUGUGACGUAAUAAUCCACAGGUUUUUGAAACAGCUCAUUUGUUGACACUAACAAAACAUUUACAUACUGAAGCAUAAAAAUAUGGAAAAAAGCUGAAUUUUGCAUAAUAGGUCCCCUUUAAACCUAAAUAAACACAAGGCUUGUUUGGGUUAAACCCUCGUGUUUUUGCCCUCAGACAGUGUUAUAGCUAAUUAAAACAGCUCUGAACCAAGGUGAAACAAUAAUAUAGCUCUGAAUAAACACAUUUUUAAAUAAAAACAUCAGCACACCUGUGCUAUCACCUAUCUGACAACCUGUGAGACGUGGCUGUAUUUGCGUACAGAGCAGGUAAAUGACCUCCGACUGCAGAAACAAUUUGGGCGCAUUAACCACCAGGUGUGAGUUCACCCAGAGGUGACAACCUGCAGAUAAACGACAACUCUGAAGAGCCUCUACACAAAGAAACGGGGCAGGUUUACAUGUUUGCUUGUGUACGCAGGAAAACAUCAAAUAAUAUUAAAAACCUGAACCUCUCUGUAACUCUACCUCGGCCCUGGUUGCUUUGAGCAGAGAGCCGCCUCGAUGUGGGCGGGAUCAAAAUAUUAAACACGCAUGAAUCUUAUUUUAUUUUAUGACUGCACCAAACUCAAAAGUAAAGUACUGAAGACUGUACAGGACCAUCCAGCUGUAUGAGGCAGGACGACAGAGAACUGUAAGCUAAUGGUGGCUAAUGUUAGCUUGUUGUGGUUGUAGAACCAACAUUCAUGUUUUUGGUCUGUGGGAGGAAAACAGACUACCCGGAUAAAACCAACGCAUGCACAGAGAGAACACGCACCCAGAAAGGUCCCCGGCCGGGAUUCGAUCCGACAACCUUCUUGCUGAGAGGCAACAGCUCUACCAACAGUCUGCAGUUUGAACCCAAGGAGUCAGCUGAGAUUUCACCUCAAACGGGUGUCGAUUCCAGCUGCCUGUGUUUGCUGAUGAUGUUUGUGUUUUCGUUAAGUGUCACAGGCAGACAGAAGUGCUGAGGGGAGCCCCGGCAGCAGACAGACUCACGCAGCUCCACUAAACGACUCACGAGUGAGUCAGAAACAUCUAACUGCAACAGUUCAGUCGGCUCGGCCGUCGAGAAACUGAGAAGUCAGCUGCAGCUCAGUGACAGGCAGCGGUCCUGAAAACCCACAAUAACUUCAGAGAGUUUACAGUGGUGCAGUUUUAGCUGUUUUUAAUUUUAACGUUUUUUUCUUGGAACAAAAAAAAAAAAAAAGAAUUGAAACAUCUUUAGAGGCCAACAUAGAACAAAAGAAGCAUUCCUUUAAUGCAGAUCACCUGCCACCUUACAGGACCAGGUUUUAUCCAAAGAUCAGGUGCCAUCUGUUACAUGUUCGGGAUGACGCUCAACUACCACCACACCAGAUUUUAGCUCAGCAUCUGUAAAAUUAUUGGAGUUAUAGACAGCUUUGGCGACCAUUUUGAACUGAGUUGACUUAAAAAAAAGCUGCAGAUGUAUAUUUAAUGAUUAAUUUCUGGGAGUUUUAUUAAAAUCCCUCCAGUGGUUUAUGAGAUAUUUUGCUAACACACAGAAAUGGACAAUUACAUGAUUAUUUGCCUUUUGUAUCGACUGGCAAUAACAAGUGACAAGUGAGUUUUUCAAUCAAAUAGUUGCUGUUUGCUUCAACUCUACUGUAAUAUUUAUAUUUAGUCAUUUUUUUAAGUAAAAUAAAAAUAUUAUUUGAUGUAUUUAAGUUACAA